CUCUUAGGCAAAUCCGGGAUCACUUACGCCGAGCACCGAGACGAGUCCUAUGAGGACGAAGUGACUGACACCACGCUUCCAGGAAAAGCCACUAAGCUUCAGCUUAAGAAAAACCGUACCGCAAACCGACACAGGUAGGCAGGGUGAGAAUCCCAAGGCGCUUGAGAGAACUCGGGUGAAGGAACUAGGCAAAAUGGCACCGUAACUUCGGGAGAAGGUGCGCCCUUUGGUGUGGUCACGUGCGUGACUGAGCAUCGAAGGGUCGCAGUAACCUGGCCGCUGCGACUGUUUAUCAAAAACACAGCACUCUGCAAACACGAAAGUGGACGUAUAGGGUGUGACGCCUGCCCGGUGCUGGAAGGUUAAUUGAUGGGGUCAGCCGCAAGGCGAAGCUCUUGAUCGAAGCCCCAGUAAACGGCGGCCGUUACGAUAACGGUCCUAAGGUAGCGAAAUUCCUUGUCGGGUAAGUUCCGACCUGCACGAAUGGCGUAACGACAGCGGCGCUGUCUCCACCCGAGUCUCAGUGAAAUUGAAAUCGCUGUGAAGAUGCAGCGUUCCCGCGGCAAGACGGAAAGACCCCGUGAACCUUUACUAUAGCUUUACACUGAACGUUGAGUUCUUCUGUGUAGGAUAGGAGGGAGGCUAUGAAACCAGGACGCUAGUUCUGGUGGAGCCAUCCUUGAAAUACCACCCUGAAGUGCUUGACGUUCUAACCUAGGCCCGUAAUCCGGGUCAGGGACCGUGUAUGGUGGGUAGUUUGACUGGGGCGGUCUCCUCCCAAAGAGUAACGGAGGAGCACGAAGGUACGCUCAGCGCGGUCGGACAUCGCGCACUGUGUGCAAAGGCAUAAGCGUGCUUGACUGCGAGAUCGACGGAUCAAGCAGGUACGAAAGUAGGUCUUAGUGAUCCGGUGGUUCUGUAUGGAAGGGCCAUCGCUCAACGGAUAAAAGGUACUCCGGGGAUAACAGGCUGAUACCGCCCAAGAGUUCAUAUCGACGGCGGUGUUUGGCACCUCGAUGUCGGCUCAUCACAUCCUGGGGCUGUAGCCGGUCCCAAGGGUAUGGCUGUUCGCCAUUUAAAGUGGUACGCGAGCUGGGUUCAGAACGUCGUGAGACAGUUCGGUCCCUAUCUGUCGUGGGCGUUGGAGAUUUGAGGGGGGCUGCUCCUAGUACGAGAGGACCGGAGUGGACGUUCCGCUGGUGUUCGGGUUGUCAUGCCCAUGGCAUUGCCCGGUAGCUACGAACGGAAGUGAUAACCGCUGAAAGCAUCUAAGCGGGAAGCACGCCCCAAGAUGAGAUCUCCCGAGAGCUUGACUCUCCUAAAGGCACCAUCAAGACUAGGUGGUUGAUAGGUCAGGUGUGGAAGCGCAGCAAUGCGUUGAGCUAACUGAUACUAAUGAGCCGUGAGGCUUGACCU
This 1416-nucleotide ribosomal RNA is filed under the name metagenome. Its description in RNAcentral is "bacterial LSU rRNA". It matches the Rfam family "Bacterial large subunit ribosomal RNA", at positions 1529 to 2925 of the family's 2925-position model. The record is from RNAcentral.